This is a long non-coding RNA of Lotus japonicus, 1294 nucleotides long. RefSeq lists it as uncharacterized. Lineage: Eukaryota; Viridiplantae; Streptophyta; Magnoliopsida; Fabales; Fabaceae. The record is from RefSeq and is a predicted model, not a curated record. The transcript has 3 exons.
AAUAAUCCAACGUGGACAGCCCCAAAUCCUUCCAAUCCCUUGUACGCUUCUACUUUUUGGUUCCAUCGAAUCACCUUCUUUGAGUUACCACUAUCCUUUCUAUGCAAUCCAAAAGCCACCAUAUCGUCACAACUUCCCACUCAAAAGUUUCUCUUCAUUUCGCUUCCUCACACAUCUGCAAUGUCUCCACCGUCGCAACACACCCCUAACCCCUUCUUCAUGCACCAAUUGCUUCGUUGCUAUCCCAAUCUAAGAUUUUCCCUUCUAUCGCUACCCCAAUCCUAAUGCCUCACUCCUCAACCACCCUCGCAUAAAUUAGCUUUUUCCAUAUUUUAUUUGCAUGACUUCCCUCUCCGAAGUUUCUUUCGUUUGAAUCUGAAAAUUCUGUUCUAACUAUAUGAGGAAAUUUUCAUUUUUUUGGUACCUAUUCUAUAGGUGAACCAAAUUGGCAGUGUAAUUAAUAGUAUUGAAGCAGUGAAAAUAACUAAGACAAUUGGCUGAGGAAACGUGUUUCAUAUUUUUUAUUGUAGUGGUGAAAUUGAGGAUACCUUCACCGCUUACCUUUUUGUUGGGUUAGCAAUAGUAUGUACCUAGAUGCAUUCUAAUUAUUUCUCAUACUCUCAUGUCAGUUGUUUUUUGUGACUUUUUGGUGUGAUGAAUAUGUUUACUUGUGACUUUUGAAUGCAUCAAAAGCCCUCGUGAUAUUUCCUUUUAAUUUAUAAGCAUCUGGUUUAAUCUUAUUGGAUUGUGUCGAUGAACUUGUAUGAGAAUUGAGAACAAGAAAAUGAUAGGACUAUUUGUGCUGUUUUCUGUGACAUAGGUAUGUAAAGUUCUCAAGGGAUAUUGAUUGGUAUCCCUUUUUUGUACCCAUGAGCUCUCAAGGAUUUGUGUCUCAUUCCUCUUUUCACAAAAACACAUUCGCACACUUCGAGAAAUGAGAAAUUUAUAUUAUUUUUAAACACAAUGAGGGUGGAGAAACAUAUUGAACGAAAGAAUGAGGGAGUCAUGUGUCAUCCAUAAUCAGCAGAGAAGGUCUACUCCUGUAUCAUGAAGUAUCACCCAGGAGCUUGCAAUGGAGUGCUUCAAUGGCUCAGCAUGCAUCCUCAAUCAGGAGGGGUGUCUACAAGAGAGGCUUACUCAUAAAACUUUUUAAGCUAAGGGUGUCAAAAUUGAGGCUUGUAUCAAGAAGAACUAUCUCAGUAAGUUUAGGGGUGAAUUCUCUGAGGGUGGUGUGUACAAGAUAAAUUUUUUCGGUGUUUCUGAAAACUCGGGCGCAUUUCGUGCAUCUGAUCAU